GACGAACGCUGGCGGCGUGCUUAACACAUGCAAGUCGAACGGAAAGGCCCUGCUUUUGUGGGGUGCUCGAGUGGCGAACGGGUGAGUAACACGUGAGUAACCUGCCCUUGACUUUGGGAUAUCUUCAGGAAACUGGGGCUAAUACCGGAUAGGAGCUCCUGCUGCAUGGUGGGGGUUGGAAAGUUUCGGUGGUUGGGGAUGGACUCGCGGCUUAUCAGCUUGUUGGUGGGGUAGUGGCUUACCAAGGCUUUGACGGGUAGCCGGCCUGAGAGGGUGACCGGCCACAUUGGGACUGAGAUACGGCCCAGACUCCUACGGGAGGCAGCAGUGGGGAAUAUUGCACAAUGGGCGGAAGCCUGAUGCAGCAACGCCGCGUGCGGGAUGACGGCCUUCGGGUUGUAAACCGCUUUCGCCUGUGACGAAGCGUGAGUGACGGUAAUGGGUAAAGAAGCACCGGCUAACUACGUG
This 468-nucleotide ribosomal RNA is filed under the name uncultured bacterium. RNAcentral's name for it is "partial 16S ribosomal RNA". It matches the Rfam family "Bacterial small subunit ribosomal RNA", at positions 28 to 507 of the family's 1533-position model. The record is from RNAcentral.